GUGCAUACAAAAAUAUAGAUGAAAAACCAAAUGAGUUACACCAACAACAGAUUAAAAACAAAAAGGAUAAAAUAACAGAAGUCCUUAUUACUCACUUAGGUUUUCAAAGUGAAACUUCUGCCCAGGAUUCUCUGGCAAGGAAGGAUGAUGGGGACUCACUAAAAAUUAGAUCUUGGCCCCAAACAAGUACACAAACACCCCUCCAAAUCAUUGGAUAUAUACCCUGUGGAUUAUCAAGUCUUGCCCAGGGGUGGAGUUAAGGCGUACCUAUAGAAAUAAGAGACCACCUCUUUUGUUCCAGACCAACCUCAAUCCAAAUUGAAACAUUUAGCUAAAUAUUCUCUUAUGUACCUGCCACAGAAAUAAUAAUUGCAUCUAUGAAUUCGUUAUUUUCCCAAUCGAAAGACAUGUCACAUUCCUUACUCGCGACCCAACAUGACUGACAUCACAAUUCCCUCCCCCAUGGUCAGGCCAUGCCCCUCAUGUUUGGGCUUGUUUAGAAGAUAGCGCUUGUCACUUUCCAAAUAUAACAAAAAUGAGGCUUAAUUAUUCAUCUGUGGGGUAAAUAUGAAUAUUUUUUUCCUUCCUUUGGAUAUGAUACUGGAACAAGGCUAAUGGCCAUUAACAUAUUGCCUCAUCAAAUACAAGGUACAUGCCAAAUGAAUGAAGAGACAUUCAGACUUUUUCCAAGUGUAGAACCUCACACCUUGAUUAAUUCACAUCCAUAUGGUAAAAUCCUUUUCACAUUCCUAGGUCAUUCAAACUACCCCUUCUGUCAUCUGACCUCAGUGUGGGGUCUUGGCUUCAAAAGAUCUAACCUCUACAAUAAAAUUUACCACUUUUGACAUGCACAAUACCAUCGCUGCGGUAGGUCAGAAAUUACAUUGAAGUACAAUAUUCCAUAGUGCCAUAAUAAAUUAUGCACCCUUGCUGUGACACCCAAAUAUCCUUUAAUGAUCCCUGCUUACACCAAAACAUUAGGACGUUCAUAAGCUCACAGGUCUGCAGUUUCUGGUUGGAGCUUUUGAAGGAUUUUUUAAAAUAUGUGCACGGCCUCUGAUUUUCUCCAAUUCUCUGGUAUCAUUCCUGAAAGGAAAAAAAUGCUAUUUCUACACUCAAUUCUUUAAGUUUUUCAUUUGUGAAUGCUUUCUGGCCCUAAGGUUUUGUUUACAUUAAUUUUAUUUACUUGCUGUAGCACUUUAUCCUGUGUUAACCAAUCAUCAAUUUGUUGUAAAGCUUCUGCAACAGGGAUUUGCAAAUCUACAGCCAUAGAUUCUUGUAUGAAGGCAGGUUAAAUUGCUUGUGGUGAUAAAGUUUUUGGAUAAUAGUUCAAUGAUCCUGUCCAGUAAACAUGCUCUGUCAAUAAAGAAAGGCAGACUAUGUCUAGCUAUUGAACAAUGCUCCCAGAGAGAAUUUACUGAGAAAGAAAGAACCGACCCUUUUUGACAUUUAACUACCAACUAUAUUGCUGGAAUCCUUUAUCAGUUUUAGAGACUGAGCUACAGAAAUAAUCGGACAAAAGAUUCCAUCCUGAAGCUUCUAAGACCUUGAUACCUCUUCAGGACCUGUAUGCAUGAAGUGUUAAACAGAAAGACUAGUGACUAAAAGCUGGGAGUUGGCAAAGUAAACCUUUGCUCAGAAGAGUAGAAAUUAAAUAUAAAGUUACAUAGUUACAUAGCUGAAUAGAGACUUGCAUCCAUCAAGUUCAGCCUACCUCACAUUUGUUUUUUGCUGUUGAUCCAAAAGGCGGCAAAAAAAAAAAAAACCAGUUUGAAGCACAAUUUUGCAACAAGCUAGGAAAAAAAUUCCUUCUUGACCCCAGAAUGGCAGUCAGAUUUAUCCUUGGAUCAAGCAGUUAUUACCCUAUAUUGAAAGAGUAUAUCCUUGUAUAUUCUGUUCUUGCAAGUAUGCAUCUAGAAGACGUUUGAACAUCUGUAUGGACUCUGAUAAAACCACUUCUUCAGGCAGAGAAUUCCACAUCCUGAUUGUUCUUACAGUAAAAAAACCUUUCCUUUGCCUUAGAUGAAAUCUUCUUUCUUCCUGCAUAUAAAUGCAUCACUCAAUAGGACGCUUUGUCUGCUUCAGUAAAGUGUGCAAAGUGCCAAGUCAAUGACAAUUAUUCCCUGGCCAAAUCAGAGGUUCGGGGAGUAAAAUAUAUUGCGAUUUAUCUACAUAUCAUGCAAACAUUGAAAGUAGAUGCUUCAAUCUUCAAAAGAGUGAUAACUGAGCCAGAUAAUUAGCAGGGCUGUUUCCAGAAAAAUAAUAGUCAUUCUUGUCAAAUGUGUAAAGGUUUGUUGUUAAAUUCCCCUUUGUAAUAUUACAAAGCACUGCAGAAUAGAUGCAAAUAGUAAAAACAACAACAACAUAGGGUUUAUUUUUGAUGGAUCAAUAUUGAUUGUGUUGGCACUCAAUUACGUGAUGCUACAGGUAUUGGAGGUAUUCCCCCAAAUGACCUCAAUUAAAUAUACAAAAAAAUAGAUUAAUACCGCACUCAAAUGCAUAUAAUAUGCAUGAGAAAAUAGAAUCACUGUGUAAAUAUGCAAAAAUUCAUUAUACACUAAAUACACCAAAUUCAUGAAAGUAGAAAAAAAGACCACUGUUACGAAAAUAUUAAAAUUGAUGAUCUCUCUAUAAAUUCAUCUAUGAUACAUAACAAAAUUUCAUAAUAUAUACAUCCCAGACUAUUUACAACUAUAUACAGUCCAUGAACAUCAUAUGCAUGAAGCUGAAAGUUCAUAAAUAUUCAGGUGGAUCCACCACUUGAUUGCUGUUCUAUUGAGAAAAAAGACAAUAAAUUAAACAAACUUAAAGGGACACUAUAGUCAUCCAGACCACUUCAGCUCAAUGAAGUGGUCUGGGUGCCAGAUCCUUCAGGUUUUAACCUGAGGUUUUUUUUCAGAGAAACUGCUAUGUUUACAUUUGGGGUUAAGCCAGCCUCCAGAAGACAGCCACUAGAGCCGCAUCUGCGACGCUGGAGGCAUAUUAUGCCUG
Molecule: long non-coding RNA, 2991 nt
Filed under: Pelobates cultripes (western spadefoot toad)
Lineage: Eukaryota; Metazoa; Chordata; Amphibia; Anura; Pelobatidae
Source: RNAcentral